GGCACAAGAGAGAAUUUAUAGCUGGUACUUGAAACCCUCGGAAGACUCCAGGCUUGCAGUCCAUUUAUUAGGAUGCUGCACGACCAUGCCUUCAUCUUGGCUGGCCCAAUUAGCACCGAGUCUAUUGUAUAAAGCUUCCUUGGUGGCCCCCGUGUUACAGAGCAAGGAGAAAGGAUUAUCCCAGUGUAAUGCUCAUAUAAACACAGCAAAGAAGCCGGAAAAUGAAUGAAAACAAGAGAAUAAAAUGCAGCAGGCCCAGUUGUGCGAGUGGAGAGGAGCCAGCAGAAUUAUAAUGCUAUUUAAACGCCUAUUGAUCUUUUGCAGUUGCACAAUUCCCAAGAUGGGUGAGAGAACAACAGCAUGUGGCCUGAUAUUAUUCACAGAGCUGGGUCUCAUUCUUGGCCUUUCUGCAUUUGAAUCCACCCUUGUGCAAGUGCGGCACUAAAUAGUCACUUUUAAGGCAGCAGCAAAUUGUACAACUCAAGAAAUUAACCUGCACCAUAUUUGGACCUGCUGUGCCAAGAUUUGGUUACUUGUUUAGAGACUGGAAUAUGAACUAUGAAGAUGAACUAAAUAGAAAGGUCUGUAAUAAGAAGUAGCAAUAACAAUAAAUGUAUAACUUUA
Long non-coding RNA from Xenopus laevis (African clawed frog), 624 nucleotides. RefSeq lists it as uncharacterized. The transcript has 2 exons. NCBI's taxonomy places the organism in Eukaryota, Metazoa, Chordata, Amphibia, Anura, Pipidae. The record is from RefSeq and is a predicted model, not a curated record.